UACGGGGGGGGCAAGCGUUGUUCGGAAUUAUUGGGCGUAAAGCGUGCGUAGGCGGCUGCGCAAGUCGGUUGUGAAACCCCGGGGCUCAACCCCGGAACUGCGUCCGAUACUGGAAGGCUUGAAUCCGGGAGAGGGAUGCGGAAUUCCAGGUGUAGCGGUGAAAUGCGUAGAUAUCUGGAGGAACACCGGUGGCGAAGGCGGCAUCCUGGACCGGUAUUGACGCUGAGGCGCGAAAGCCAGGGGAGCAAACGGG
Molecule: ribosomal RNA, 253 nt
Filed under: uncultured bacterium
Lineage: Bacteria
Description: partial 16S ribosomal RNA
Rfam family: Bacterial small subunit ribosomal RNA
Source: RNAcentral